AUGAGUUUCAAUGGGGCGCCAACACCUGCCAGGUUCUGUGAGAUGCUGAGGCUACGAAGAUCAAGGUAUUUGGCUGCUGUUGGACUCAAGGUUCCCAAAUGCAGUGACUGGUUGUGUUUGUUGGACAUGGGAAUUCACCCCUACAUGAGACUCAGAGGGAUACAGUUUAUGAGAAAUUCCUCUGAUAAAAGUCAAGGCUCCUUCAAGUUCUGGAGGUCUUCUUAUCGCAAACGUGAAGUGAUGCUUUCUGAUCAGUUAAUCCAAAGACACAAGCCUAGGCUUGGCACCCCACCCAAAUCCCACAGUGUGAGGAGAGGCUGUUCAUGCCAGAGCUGGAGGAACAAGUGCCAAAGCAGCAGCAACAGCCAGCGCCUGCAACAGAAAACACAGGAAAAAACUCGGGCGCUCUCUCAAACAAGUUUUCAUUAGAUUCCCUGUCGGAUUUCCUUUCAGGACUGGCUGGUUUCUUUUAGCUCUUGAGCACAUAAAAUUGUUAGUGCUGAAGUUUGGAAUGUGUUGUGAUCAUUUCAUUUCACUGAGGACAUUAUAUAAGAUCUACAUCACUUUUAAGACAAGAAGUUUGGAGCCUGGUACCUCCUCCAGUGCAUCUCAGUAACCAUGCGAAGGAGUUUCCUGGUAGCGUAGUGGGUUAUGGGUCCAACAUUGUCUUUGCCUUGGCGAGGGUUCAGUCCCUGGCCCCGGAAUUUCCGCGUGUUGUGUGCAAGGCCGGAAAAAAAAAAAAUGACCACAUGAAGAUGAGGAGAUGCACAGCUAAGACUUGGACUGCGUGGAAAAGCACUUAAUUAUCCAGUUUCUGUGCCAGUCCAGGGUUUCCGCCGAGGAGGCCAGACAAGAGGAUAAUGGAAAACUACAUGAUGUAUUAUGUUACUCUCACCGAAAUCCCCUAAUUUUAAGGGAAAACAAUCUUCAAAGGAGUCAUAAAGCACAUGAAGAGGCAUCUUAAGGGAUGAUCAUCUAGAUAAAUCACAGCCUUCCUAACAGCUGGAUUUUUGAGUCAAAACUUACGUGAGGGGUACUGUCUCAAAGACGUAUCUAUGUAUUUGCCAAG
This 1069-nucleotide long non-coding RNA is filed under the name Sus scrofa (pig). RNAcentral's name for it is "lncRNA (ENSSSCG00025053917.1)". The record is from RNAcentral. Lineage: Eukaryota; Metazoa; Chordata; Mammalia; Artiodactyla; Suidae.